Molecule: ribosomal RNA, 234 nt
Filed under: uncultured bacterium
Lineage: Bacteria
Description: partial 16S ribosomal RNA
Rfam family: Bacterial small subunit ribosomal RNA
Source: RNAcentral
UGGGUGACCUGCCCUCAGCUCUGGGAUAAGCCUGGGAAACUGGGUCUAAUACUGGAUAUUCACUGCUUAUCGCAUGGUGGGUGGUGGUAAAGUUUUUUCGGCUGGGGAUGGGCCCCGCGGCCUAUCAGCUUGUUGGGUGGGGUGAUGGCCUACCAAGGCGACGACGGGUAGCCGGCUGAGAGGGCGUCCGGCCACACUGGGACUGAGACACCGGCCCAGACCUCCGUACGGGGA